This is a non-coding RNA of Triticum aestivum (bread wheat), 138 nucleotides long. The record is from Rfam. NCBI's taxonomy places the organism in Eukaryota, Viridiplantae, Streptophyta, Magnoliopsida, Poales, Poaceae.
CCGAUCAAUGAUGAUGAGCUUGUCUCCCACAUCACCGCCGGCCUCGACAUGGAGUAUCGGCCCUCGUCUCUGCCAACAAUGCCCGCACCGACACCAUCAGCAUCGACGACCUCUACGCUCAGAUGAGCAACUUCGAUC